Molecule: unclassified non-coding RNA, 229 nt
Filed under: plant metagenome
Description: partial contains small subunit ribosomal RNA, internal transcribed spacer 1, and 5.8S ribosomal RNA
Source: RNAcentral
UCUCCGUAGGUGAACCUGCGGAGGGAUCAUUACAGAGUUCAUGCCCUACCGGGUAGAUCUCCCAACCUAUGUUAUUAUUACUUUGUUGCUUUGGCGGGCCGUUAGGCUCCGGCCCGACUACCGGCCCCGGCUGGUAAGCGCCCGCCAGAGGACCCAAAACCCUGAAUAUUAGUGUCGUCUGAGUACUAUAUAAUAGUUAAAACUUUCAACAACGGAUCUCUUGGUUCUG